This 2788-nucleotide ribosomal RNA is filed under the name Escherichia coli. RNAcentral's name for it is "bacterial LSU rRNA". It matches the Rfam family "Bacterial large subunit ribosomal RNA". The record is from RNAcentral. Lineage: Bacteria; Pseudomonadati; Pseudomonadota; Gammaproteobacteria; Enterobacterales; Enterobacteriaceae.
AGCGUACACGGUGGAUGCCCUGGCAGUCAGAGGCGAUGAAGGACGUGCUAAUCUGCGAUAAGCGUCGGUAAGGUGAUAUGAACCGUUAUAACCGGCGAUUUCCGAAUGGGGAAACCCAGUGUGAUUCGUCACACUAUCAUUAACUGAAUCCAUAGGUUAAUGAGGCGAACCGGGGGAACUGAAACAUCUAAGUACCCCGAGGAAAAGAAAUCAACCGAGAUUCCCCCAGUAGCGGCGAGCGAACGGGGAGCAGCCCAGAGCCUGAAUCAGUGUGUGUGUUAGUGGAAGCGUCUGGAAAGGCGCGCGAUACAGGGUGACAGCCCCGUACACAAAAAUGCACAUGCUGUGAGCUCGAUGAGUAGGGCGGGACACGUGGUAUCCUGUCUGAAUAUGGGGGGACCAUCCUCCAAGGCUAAAUACUCCUGACUGACCGAUAGUGAACCAGUACCGUGAGGGAAAGGCGAAAAGAACCCCGGCGAGGGGAGUGAAAAAGAACCUGAAACCGUGUACGUACAAGCAGUGGGAGCACAGAGCAAUCUGUGUGACUGCGUACCUUUUGUAUAAUGGGUCAGCGACUUAUAUUCUGUAGCAAGGUUAACCGAAUAGGGGAGCCGAAGGGAAACCGAGUCUUAACUGGGCGUUAAGUUGCAGGGUAUAGACCCGAAACCCGGUGAUCUAGCCAUGGGCAGGUUGAAGGUUGGGUAACACUAACUGGAGGACCGAACCGACUAAUGUUGAAAAAUUAGCGGAUGACUUGUGGCUGGGGGUGAAAGGCCAAUCAAACCGGGAGAUAGCUGGUUCUCCCCGAAAGCUAUUUAGGUAGCGCCUCGUGAAUUCAUCUCCGGGGGUAGAGCACUGUUUCGGCAAGGGGGUCAUCCCGACUUACCAACCCGAUGCAAACUGCGAAUACCGGAGAAUGUUAUCACGGGAGACACACGGCGGGUGCUAACGUCCGUCGUGAAGAGGGAAACAACCCAGACCGCCAGCUAAGGUCCCAAAGUCAUGGUUAAGUGGGAAACGAUGUGGGAAGGCCCAGACAGCCAGGAUGUUGGCUUAGAAGCAGCCAUCAUUUAAAGAAAGCGUAAUAGCUCACUGGUCGAGUCGGCCUGCGCGGAAGAUGUAACGGGGCUAAACCAUGCACCGAAGCUGCGGCAGCGACACUGUGUGUUGUUGGGUAGGGGAGCGUUCUGUAAGCCUGCGAAGGUGUGCUGUGAGGCAUGCUGGAGGUAUCAGAAGUGCGAAUGCUGACAUAAGUAACGAUAAAGCGGGUGAAAAGCCCGCUCGCCGGAAGACCAAGGGUUCCUGUCCAACGUUAAUCGGGGCAGGGUGAGUCGACCCCUAAGGCGAGGCCGAAAGGCGUAGUCGAUGGGAAACAGGUUAAUAUUCCUGUACUUGGUGUUACUGCGAAGGGGGGACGGAGAAGGCUAUGUUGGCCGGGCGACGGUUGUCCCGGUUUAAGCGUGUAGGCUGGUUUUCCAGGCAAAUCCGGAAAAUCAAGGCUGAGGCGUGAUGACGAGGCACUACGGUGCUGAAGCAACAAAUGCCCUGCUUCCAGGAAAAGCCUCUAAGCAUCAGGUAACAUCAAAUCGUACCCCAAACCGACACAGGUGGUCAGGUAGAGAAUACCAAGGCGCUUGAGAGAACUCGGGUGAAGGAACUAGGCAAAAUGGUGCCGUAACUUCGGGAGAAGGCACGCUGAUAUGUAGGUGAAGUCCCUCGCGGAUGGAGCUGAAAUCAGUCGAAGAUACCAGCUGGCUGCAACUGUUUAUUAAAAACACAGCACUGUGCAAACACGAAAGUGGACGUAUACGGUGUGACGCCUGCCCGGUGCCGGAAGGUUAAUUGAUGGGGUCAGCGCAAGCGAAGCUCUUGAUCGAAGCCCCGGUAAACGGCGGCCGUAACUAUAACGGUCCUAAGGUAGCGAAAUUCCUUGUCGGGUAAGUUCCGACCUGCACGAAUGGCGUAAUGAUGGCCAGGCUGUCUCCACCCGAGACUCAGUGAAAUUGAACUCGCUGUGAAGAUGCAGUGUACCCGCGGCAAGACGGAAAGACCCCGUGAACCUUUACUAUAGCUUGACACUGAACAUUGAGCCUUGAUGUGUAGGAUAGGUGGGAGGCUUUGAAGUGUGGACGCCAGUCUGCAUGGAGCCGACCUUGAAAUACCACCCUUUAAUGUUUGAUGUUCUAACGUUGACCCGUAAUCCGGGUUGCGGACAGUGUCUGGUGGGUAGUUUGACUGGGGCGGUCUCCUCCUAAAGAGUAACGGAGGAGCACGAAGGUUGGCUAAUCCUGGUCGGACAUCAGGAGGUUAGUGCAAUGGCAUAAGCCAGCUUGACUGCGAGCGUGACGGCGCGAGCAGGUGCGAAAGCAGGUCAUAGUGAUCCGGUGGUUCUGAAUGGAAGGGCCAUCGCUCAACGGAUAAAAGGUACUCCGGGGAUAACAGGCUGAUACCGCCCAAGAGUUCAUAUCGACGGCGGUGUUUGGCACCUCGAUGUCGGCUCAUCACAUCCUGGGGCUGAAGUAGGUCCCAAGGGUAUGGCUGUUCGCCAUUUAAAGUGGUACGCGAGCUGGGUUUAGAACGUCGUGAGACAGUUCGGUCCCUAUCUGCCGUGGGCGCUGGAGAACUGAGGGGGGCUGCUCCUAGUACGAGAGGACCGGAGUGGACGCAUCACUGGUGUUCGGGUUGUCAUGCCAAUGGCACUGCCCGGUAGCUAAAUGCGGAAGAGAUAAGUGCUGAAAGCAUCUAAGCACGAAACUUGCCCCGAGAUGAGUUCUCCCUGACUCCUUGA